GGAAAGCCGCUCCUGCCCAUGUGCUGCCCGAGCAGCGCGCUGCACGUCUCAGCAAACAAUUGGCUUAGGGAAGACCCCAUCUGUAAGGAAAUGGCAGAUUAAAUUGAGGUGAUGUUUUGACCGACAACUUGCAUCAUCCCUUACCACUGAUUAUCACGGCUGCCAUAAUAACCACUGAUUAUGCCAACCAAGACCAAGACCAGUAGAGAUGAAAACCUCUGGAGAGGCUGCCCAUCCUGUGUUAGAUAAUGUGGAGUGGAGAUUCUAUUUCACAUUAAAAUCUGCAUGAAGGAACAUUGGGUGGUUGUUAUUACCCAAUUAGGUAGAAUAGAAAGGUGUGGCCUUGUGUAUGAGGCUUAAAGCUCAAGGCAGGAGACAGAACCAACUGCAUGGCUUGCUGCCAUGUCUCAGUCUUGGAAUGUGUAGCAAAAUCAAGAGAGUGCCUCUGAACAUGCGCUAAGCAGUUUGCUUCUGAUAGGCUUCUGUUUCUCUGAGAUUACAUCUGGGAGUACACCUUUCAGGCAAGAUGACCCAAUCUCUCCUCUCAUAAAAUAAAGAGCUGAACUUAUUUUUUUACUUCAUCAAAAGGAAUUGUAGUCACCAGACUUGAAAAAUGUUCUGGUACUGAACAAUACACUCUAUAAACUGCUUAGGCCAGCAUUAGUGUGAAGCUGGGCUUAGUCCCACUGUUGGACUGUAGCACUUGGUCAAUAGUUUUAAUGAAAAGGUAAGAUACAGCCAGUAAUUAUUUUUAUUUGGACGAGAAAGAGAAAACUACAUGAAAAGAGCAUGGUAAUCUCUUAAUACUUGCAUCUGUGAUUUUAAAAAUGUUUGUGUCCAUGGAUUUUAGAAUCUCUAAAACAUCAAACACAACGGGCAAUAAGAAAAAUCUGAUUCAUUUAUAUGUGAAAUAGAAAUAGUGGUCCCUUUCUCCUUCCAUUCCACUUCCUAAAACUGCACAAAUAGCAGUUGACAAGUGCAUGGCCAUAUUUCAUACUGUGUAGAUUUUCCAAAUGAAAGUACUGACAUUGUUGUUAAAAAUGCCUAGGUUUAAAAAUGGUUAAAAAUACUUAAGUUCCUCCAUAUGGAUGUUUUUAUUUUGUAAUCUCCUGCUUCAUUCACAAAAUGUUAUCAGAGUUCUAGACAAAAAUGUAUUCUAUUUGUAAACUUC
Molecule: long non-coding RNA, 1171 nt
Organism: Varanus komodoensis (Komodo dragon)
Lineage: Eukaryota; Metazoa; Chordata; Lepidosauria; Squamata; Varanidae
Exons: 2
Source: RefSeq, a predicted model, not a curated record